Molecule: ribosomal RNA, 497 nt
Filed under: uncultured bacterium
Lineage: Bacteria
Description: partial 16S ribosomal RNA
Rfam family: Bacterial small subunit ribosomal RNA
Source: RNAcentral
GAUGAACGCUGGCGGCGUGCCUAAUACAUGCAAGUCGAGCGAACAGACGAGGAGCUUGCUCCUCUGACGUUAGCGGCGGACGGGUGAGUAACACGUGGAUAACCUACCUAUAAGACUGGGAUAACUUCGGGAAACCGGAGCUAAUACCGGAUAAUAUAUUGAACCGCAUGGUUCAAUAGCGAAAGCCGGUUUUGCUGUCACUUAUAGAUGGAUCCGCGCCGCAUUAGCUAGUUGGUAAGGUAACGGCUUACCAAGGCAACGAUGCGUAGCCGACCUGAGAGGGUGAUCGGCCACACUGGAACUGAGACACGGUCCAGACUCCUACGGGAGGCAGCAGUAGGGAAUCUUCCGCAAUGGGCGAAAGCCUGACGGAGCAACGCCGCGUGAGUGAUGAAGGUCUUCGGAUCGUAAAACUCUGUUAUUAGGGAAGAACAAAUGUGUAAGUAACUAUGCACGUCUUGACGGUACCUAAUCAGAAAGCCACGGCUAACUACGUG